AUUCAAAGGCCUGUCCUCCAAAUUGAGCUUUCUAUAGCACGAAAGUCUAAUCUAUUCCGGUAUUCUCUUCCCCAUGAGACAACCUGUUAUAUAGGCUCAAGCAAU
RNAcentral lists this small nucleolar RNA (105 nucleotides) under Nannospalax galili (Upper Galilee mountains blind mole rat). RNAcentral describes it as "Small nucleolar RNA SNORA28 (ENSNGAG00000002060.1)". It matches the Rfam family "Small nucleolar RNA SNORA28", at positions 22 to 126 of the family's 126-position model. From Rfam's summary of the family: ACA28 is a member of the H/ACA class of snoRNA that guide the sites of modification of uridines to pseudouridines. The record is from RNAcentral. Lineage: Eukaryota; Metazoa; Chordata; Mammalia; Rodentia; Spalacidae.